RNAcentral lists this ribosomal RNA (253 nucleotides) under uncultured bacterium. RNAcentral's name for it is "partial 16S ribosomal RNA". It matches the Rfam family "Bacterial small subunit ribosomal RNA", at positions 524 to 776 of the family's 1533-position model. The record is from RNAcentral.
UACGGGGGGGGCAAGCGUUGUUCGGAAUUACUGGGCGUAAAGGGCCAGUAGGCGGCCAACUAAGUCCGACGUGAAAUCCCAAGGCUUAACCUUGGAACUGCGUCGGAUACUGGAUGGCUUGAAUUCGGGAGAGGGAUGCAGAAUUCCAGGUGGAGCGGUGAAAUGCGUAGAUAUCUGGAGGAAUACCGGUGGCGAAGGCGGCAUCCUGGACCGGCAUUGACGCUGAUGAGCGAAAGCUAGGGGAGCAAACGGG